AGUAGAGCGGGCUCAUUCUCACAGCAUCCUUUUCACAGGUCCAGUUUGCUCUGCAUGAAGUGGUGAAGUUUGAGCCCCGGGUGGAGCCCCAAGUCUGACGCAGACAGCUGCCCAGAAUAAAUAAGCAGCUCCACUCUGCAUCCUCAAGGACCCAACACAAUGUUUCCUCUACAGCAACCCUUGUGAUCCCAGCAGGAAUCUGUUCAGUCUUAACUGGCACAUGCAGUACUGGGAUCUUACAUUCAGAAGUAGAUCAUUUCUGUAUAAACAGGUGCGGAGGAUGACCGUGGCUCUGGUUGCUGUUGGACAGGGGAGGCUUUCACCCUCAGAGGUGAAGGAUCUACUGGAGGCCAGGAAUUAUCUAGUCUAUCCACAGAAUUUGAUGGCACCCCCAAAUGGUUUGUUCCUUCAGAAAGUGGAAUAAGAGGAAACAGUACCACAUGUGCAAUCCGCCACGCAGUUGGGACUGACUUGUGCUGGAAAUGACACUGAUGGAAUCGCGUGAUGAGUGUGUGUGAGGGAGGUAGCACCUGUUUUGAGAACUGGGAAAAAGUGGGCAUCAAAGGACACAAUGGAUCUGGUUUGAGUUUAAAAUAUUGGUAAAGCGGAAACUUUGUAUUUUUUGAAACUUCAGUCCAGUCCCUGUGGCUUGGUGAAAGACCUGCUGGUGCACGGAUAUGUGGAGUGGCAGGGAGGGGUACAAUUCUUCCCUGUAAAAACAUGUGGGAAUGUUGCCACAGGUCUACAAAAAGGGCUAGAAUUGUGAUAGUGAAGGUAUUGUGUGGAGCUGGACUGUGUGUGUUUGUUUGUUUAUUUGUUUGUUUGUGUGUAUCUAAAUAAAUGCGUGUGAGUGCGU
Polyodon spathula (Mississippi paddlefish) is the source of this 856-nucleotide long non-coding RNA. RefSeq lists it as uncharacterized. NCBI's taxonomy places the organism in Eukaryota, Metazoa, Chordata, Actinopteri, Acipenseriformes, Polyodontidae. The transcript is spliced from 5 exons. The record is from RefSeq and is a predicted model, not a curated record.